AGCACUGGCAAUAUUUUAGAAAUCUAAGAAGCGCCUCUAAGGAGAGAUGUGCUGAACCUUUGGAAGGGCCUCUCUCCUCCAAGGACAAACAAGCAGCGGAGGAGGGGUGCACAGAUGCUCUGCAGCUUCUGGACAUCCUGAUUCAUACAGCUCGACCUGGACACUUCCAGCUAAGCGCCUGCCCAUGCUGCUCCACCCCCUUCCCUUCCUGGCUCCCUCUUACCCUUCCUUCUUAUCCUGAUCCCUCCCUGCCAGUUGUUGGACCUGAAGUUUCUGCUGAAUCACCAUCCAGUACUUAGUUCAGCCAAGAAGCCCGAACACCCAGCUCAGCGAUUUCCAAGAGCUGAGUAAUUCUUCAGCAUUAGCUAAACAUCGCUCCUGAGCUGGGGUGGGGGAGAAGAGAAAAACGGAAGACACAGGGAAAGCAGGGGAGACAGGACACAGCAUGCUGUGCUACCUGGGGGAGCCCCCUUUAGUUCCUACUCAUUACUCUUCAAGCCCAGGCCGAAAAAAUUCCAGCUAUCUCAUGCCCCAAUUCUCAGGGCCAAGAACAGUAACGAGCACAUCAUGGCCCUUGAUAAAUGUUUGCUGAGUGAACAAAGUGCUGUGAUUCUCAUUUAUAUAAGGUUUCCCCAGGGUCCCAAUCCCCUUCUGUUCCAGAGCAGGCUUUUGAACAGCAUCCUGGGGUAACCACCCUGAGGAAGACUUCCAACCAAAGACCUGCUCAGCAUUUCAGGGAUUUGGAGAGGGCGUGGAAGGCAGAAAUAGAGAGAAAACAUUGUUAACUGCUCACUACAAAUGCUGGAGACAAAAUGCCUCUUAUUAAAUACCUGGUUGCUUAUACCCUGUGGGCCUAACUUUGAGUGCCCACCUGCAUCACCACCUCCUGAAAUGAGUAACUGAAGUGACCUAUUGUCAGGACGAAGAGACUCGUUCGACGAGAUAUAAAGCAAUCUAUCAACUCAACGUUUUGACUGUGACAAUGCUAGAAGAAGUUUCGAAGGCAAGACUGGAGGGGACCAAGAUGUGCCUCCCUAAAAUGUCUCUGGCAUGCGGAUUAGUUCAAGUUGAAAACAAUCGAGGCCCAAAAGACUCAGGAAGAAAUUUUGCCCCUCCCCCCAGCUGCCUAAAAAGAAUUUAGAUAGAGGACCUGUUCCUGGAGUAGUGCUAUCACCAGAGAUAUCGGCAAAAUGUGGGCUGGGUGGUGGGGAGAUUAAAGAUUAGAGUCCACUCUCUGUCCCAUUGUCUCCACAUGGCUCAGCAAACAGUUUUUACCAAACAUUUGCUUUUCAUUUGCAUGUCAAUUACCUUCCUCCCUUCGAAGUCCCAACAUUCUCUUUUGUCUUUAGCUGAAGGUGGUAUUUAAGGUGAGGGUUUUGACUAUUUUGGCAAGUUACUCAGUUUUUCUGGGUCUCUUCUAGGUACAGUUGUUAUUAAACUUUUGUUUGAUUUUUUCUUGUUAA
Molecule: long non-coding RNA, 1463 nt
Organism: Orcinus orca (killer whale)
Lineage: Eukaryota; Metazoa; Chordata; Mammalia; Artiodactyla; Delphinidae
Exons: 2
Source: RefSeq, a predicted model, not a curated record